UGGACCAAUGAUGAGAGAAUCAUCAAUCAAGGAUUAUGAUGAAUCCAAUACUGUGAAUCUGAGGUCCAA
Delphinapterus leucas (beluga whale) is the source of this 69-nucleotide small nucleolar RNA. Ensembl annotates it as small nucleolar RNA SNORD113/SNORD114 family. Lineage: Eukaryota; Metazoa; Chordata; Mammalia; Artiodactyla; Monodontidae. The record is from Ensembl.